This 1522-nucleotide long non-coding RNA is filed under the name Canis lupus familiaris (dog). RNAcentral describes it as "lncRNA (ENSCAFG00040002711.1)". The record is from RNAcentral. Lineage: Eukaryota; Metazoa; Chordata; Mammalia; Carnivora; Canidae.
AGCUGGCCGGCGGGACCCUGCUUCCGCGGGCCUGGGGGUGACCUGCUGGGGACGAGAGUGGACACCGGAUGCUCAGUCACACUGCUCUGAUCCGCAGCGUGCCCAAGGCAGCCCAAGCACGCCCCUGCGCAGGCUGGUGCGGUCGGCCACCGCGGCUACCUGGCGCCGUCCCUCCUCUGCCAACCCUGUGCUCCCCAGCCCCGUGACCUGGGGUCGGUGCCCCAGCCUUCACCACAACUCACCUGCACAGGGUGAGCCGAGGGUGUUGGGAGUAGAAGGUUGUAGCAGAGACAGGUGGCUUGUAGCACGCCGCACGUGGCCCCCUAAUCCCCCAGGACCCUAUGCUUGGGCGGAUCCACAUCUGCUUCAUCAUUUAUCUUCGAACCGGCGUUUUCUGAGUGACCUCGGGGAGCAGUGCCCGGGGGCUGGGGGGACGCAGGCGGCAGGCGUGUCCACCUGGCCCCGUGUGUGUGUCACCUUCAUGAUGCCCCUGAGUGUACAGGGUGGACCAGUCCAGCAGGAGCUCGAGAGACCCAGAGCUGGCAUUGGGCCUCCCCCUGCAGCCGCCGUCACCAGGGGCCCCCGACAGGAGGCUUUGCACAGGCAAGAAUGUGCCCUCUUGUGACCGGAGACCAGAAGAGUGAAAUCCGGGGGUCAGCUUGUGCGGCUGGGGCGAUCCUGGGCGUCCCCGUGUCUGUCUGCACCCCCUCCUCUUUGGGUCGCCAGCCUGGGUGCAGGCCCACCUCAACCUGGGGUCAUUUCACCCAAAGAUCCCUAAUUACAUCCACACAGGUCAUGAUGUGAGGUUCCAGGUGGAUGUAAAUGUGGGGGCUACUUCUCCCCACGCAAGGUGAGCGUGCGAGGUGCGCGAGUGGGCGAGCGCAGAGGGCGGCCGACAGCCAGCUGUGGCCAGAGGCGUGCAGGACAUGGGGAGAGGGCAGCGGUGCUCGGAGGCACACAUGUGGCCGGGACUCCAUGGUGCCCCUUCUUCCUCAGGUGACUUCGUGCGAGCCAGCCUCAGGGACGUGGUGACGCAGCAGAGGGACACAGCGCCCGCAGCCUCCCCACCCGACCGCAGACUGGAGCAGUUAGAUCAACAUCAAGUGACCGGAUGGAAACACGGCGGCAGGACGGCAGCUCUCUGUGCGACAUCCCUCCUUGCCCUUGAGGACACCGCAGAGCCGCCUGGGGGCGCUUCUGAGCUGGUGGUGGCCUCUGUGGCCUCAGGCGGUCAGGAGGCAGCCUGGGUGACGCGGUGGCACUUGGCAGGUGGUGACGAGGUGUCCAUUAUGGGUCUAGGGCUGGGGUGACAGGUGUCCUUGGCCCCGGGGGAGGCAGGGCCUGCAGGGGACAGGUGCUGGGGCAGGGCCCCCACAGACACCUGCGUGGCCAGCCGCAGUGGUUGGGGUCACGGGAACGGGGCAGACGGCGCCGUGGGCCCCUACGCCUCCCCCGCAUGCACACACGUGCUCUUCGUGCGGAUGUCUCGCCUUCUCGUGCUAACGUCCGCCGUCCCUGACUC